AAGGCUGGUUUGUUCAUUGAUAAGGGUGUUAAAACUACUAAUGCUAGUGCUGAUGAUCCCAGAGAAUAUCUUUGCUUGGACAACAAUGCAAGGUUUCGUCCUCAUCAAGAUGCAGACCCUGAAAAACCCCGAGUUGCUGCCCUGAUUGAUGGAUUAAUCUCUUUCAGAAACAAUGAUCAUGGUGCUUGGGUCAGGGGAGGAGAUAUCCUCAUUCAGAACUCUGGGUUUGCAGACAAUGGAAUUGGUUUGACAUUUGCCAGGUGAGUAUUUAAUUACUGCUAUGUUUUCUUAAAAGUUUAGAAAAACAUCAUACA
This is a non-coding RNA of Meleagris gallopavo (turkey), 314 nucleotides long. The record is from RefSeq and is a predicted model, not a curated record. Lineage: Eukaryota; Metazoa; Chordata; Aves; Galliformes; Phasianidae.